This 399-nucleotide ribosomal RNA is filed under the name uncultured bacterium. Its description in RNAcentral is "bacterial SSU rRNA". It matches the Rfam family "Bacterial small subunit ribosomal RNA", at positions 355 to 759 of the family's 1533-position model. The record is from RNAcentral.
UAACGAAUAUUGCGCAAUGGGCGAAAGCCUGACGCAGCGACGCCGCGUGUAGGACGAAGCCCCUCGGGGUGUAAACUACUGUCAGGGGUUAGAAAGGCCGAGCAAUCGGUUUGAUCAGCCCCAGAGGAAGUCACGGCUAACUUCGUGCCAGCAGCCGCGGUAAUACGAAGGUGGCUAGCGUUGUUCGGUGUCACUGGGCUUAAAGCGCUCGUAGGCGGGACCGUAAGUGUCUUGUGAAAUCCCCCGGCUCAACCGGGGAAUGGCAGGGCAUACUGCGGUCCUUGAGGCAAACAGGGGUGCAUGGAACUCUUGGUGGAGCGGUGGAAUGCGUAGAUAUCAAGAAGAACGCCGAUGGUGAAGACAAUGCACUGGGUUUGUCCUGACGCUGAGGAGCGAAAG